CAGUCGCUACGGGAAUACGUAGGGUGCAAGCGUUGUCCGGAAUUAUUGGGCGUAAAGAGCUCGUAGGCGGUUUGUCGCGUCUGCUGUGAAAUCCCGAGGCUCAACCUCGGGCUUGCAGUGGGUACGGGCAGACUAGAGUGCGGUAGGGGAGAUUGGAAUUCCUGGUGUAGCGGUGGAAUGCGCAGAUAUCAGGAGGAACACCGAUGGCGAAGGCAGAUCUCUGGGCCGUAACUGACGCUGAGGAGCGAAAGCGUGGGGAGCGAACAGGAUUAGAUACCCGGGUAGUCCCUGUCUCUUAUAA
RNAcentral lists this ribosomal RNA (301 nucleotides) under uncultured bacterium. RNAcentral's name for it is "partial 16S ribosomal RNA". It matches the Rfam family "Bacterial small subunit ribosomal RNA", at positions 509 to 809 of the family's 1533-position model. The record is from RNAcentral.